RNAcentral lists this ribosomal RNA (553 nucleotides) under uncultured archaeon. RNAcentral's name for it is "bacterial SSU rRNA". It matches the Rfam family "Archaeal small subunit ribosomal RNA", at positions 326 to 879 of the family's 1478-position model. The record is from RNAcentral.
CGGGGUGCACCAGGCGCGAAAACUUUACAAUGCUGGAAACAGCGAUAAGGGGACCUCGAGUGCCAGGUUACAAAUCUGGCUGUCGUGAUGCCUAAAAAGCAUUGCAUAGCAAGGGCCGGGCAAGACCGGUGCCAGCCGCCGCGGUAACACCGGCGGCUCGAGUGGUAACCGUUAUUAUUGGGUCUAAAGGGUCUGUAGCCGGCCGGAUAAGUCUCUUGGGAAAUCCAGCAGCUCAACUGUUGGGCUUUCAGGAGAUACUGUCUGGCUCGAGGCCGGGAGAGGUGAGAGGUACUUCAGGGGUAGGGGUGAAAUCUUGUAAUCCUUGAAGGACCACCAGUGGCGAAGGCGUCUCACCAGAACGGACCUGACGGCAAGGGACGAAAGCUAGGGGCACGAACCGGAUUAGAUACCCGGGUAGUCCUAGCCGUAAACGAUACUCGCUAGGUGUCGGCCACGGUGCGACCGUCGUCGGUGCCGUAGGGAAGCCGUGAAGCGAGCCACCUGGGAAGUACGGCCGCAAAACGGAAACUUAAAGGAAUUGGCGGGGGAGCAC